GGACUACCGGGGUAUCUAAUCCUGUUUGCUCCCCUAGCUUUCGUCCCUCAGCGUCAGUUGCGGUCCAGCGAGCCGCCUUCGCCACGGGUGUUCCUGCCGAUAUCUACGCAUUUCACCGCUACACCGGCAAUUCCACUCGCCUCUCCCGCACUCGAGCACAGCAGUUUCGGAAGCAGUCUCACAGUUAAGCCAUGAGAUUUCACUCCCGACUUGCCACACCGCCUACGGACCCUUUACGCCCAGUAAUUCCGAGCAACGCUGGCCCCCUACGUUUUACCGCGGCUGCUGGCAC
RNAcentral lists this ribosomal RNA (292 nucleotides) under uncultured Acidobacteriota bacterium. RNAcentral's name for it is "uncultured Acidobacteria bacterium partial 16S ribosomal RNA". Lineage: Bacteria; Pseudomonadati; Acidobacteriota. The record is from RNAcentral.